AGUGAACGCUGGCGGCGUGCUUAACACAUGCAAGUCGAACGAGAACGGAUUAUAGCUUGCUAUAAUCGUCAGCUAAGUGGCGCACGGGUGAGUAAUGUAUAGGUAAUAUGCCUCUUACUAAGGGAUAACAAAUGGAAACGUUUGCUAAUACCUUAUACUCCUUAUUAACAGAAGUUAAUAAGGGAAAGAUUUAUUGGUAAGAGAUUAGCCUGUAUUGUAUCAGUUAGUUGGUGGGGUAAUGGCUUACCAAGACUAUGACACAUAACUGGUUUAAGAGGAUGAUCAGUCACACUGGAACUGAGACACGGUCCAGACUCCUACGGGAGGCAGCAGUGGGGAAUAUUGCACAAUGGACGGAAGUCUGAUGCAGCAACGCCGCGUGGAGGAUGACACAUUUCGGUGCGUAAACUCCUUUUAUAUGAGAAGAUAAUGACGGUAUUAUAUGAAUAAGCACCGGCUAACUCCGUGCCAGCAGCCGCGGUAA
RNAcentral lists this ribosomal RNA (484 nucleotides) under uncultured bacterium. RNAcentral describes it as "partial 16S ribosomal RNA". It matches the Rfam family "Bacterial small subunit ribosomal RNA", at positions 29 to 523 of the family's 1533-position model. The record is from RNAcentral.